This 481-nucleotide ribosomal RNA is filed under the name uncultured bacterium. Its description in RNAcentral is "bacterial SSU rRNA". It matches the Rfam family "Bacterial small subunit ribosomal RNA", at positions 47 to 517 of the family's 1533-position model. The record is from RNAcentral.
CCUAACACAUGCAAGUCGAACGGAAACAGGAAACAGCUUGCUGUUUCGCUGACGAGUGGCGGACGGGUGAGUAAUGUCUGGGAAACUGCCUGAUGGAGGGGGAUAACUACUGGAAACGGUAGCUAAUACCGCAUAACGUCGCACGACCAAAGAGGGGGACCUUCGGGCCCCUUGCCAUCGGAUGUGCCCAGAUGGGAUUAGCUUGUUGGUGGGGUAACGGCUCACCAAGGCGACGAUCCCUAGCUGGUCUGAGAGGAUGACCAGCCACACUGGAACUGAGACACGGUCCAGACUCCUACGGGAGGCAGCAGUGGGGAAUAUUGCACAAUGGGCGCAAGCCUGAUGCAGCCAUGCCGCGUGUAUGAAGAAGGCCUUCGGGUUGUAAAGUACUUUCAGCGGGGAGGAAGGGAGUAAAGUUAAUACCUUUGCUCAUUGACGUUACCCGCAGAAGAAGCACCGGCUAACUCCGUGCCAGCAGCCG